RNAcentral lists this ribosomal RNA (362 nucleotides) under Vonones pelaezi. Its description in RNAcentral is "partial small subunit ribosomal RNA". Lineage: Eukaryota; Metazoa; Arthropoda; Arachnida; Opiliones; Cosmetidae. The record is from RNAcentral.
GAUACCCUAGUAUAAAUUUUUAUUGAUUAUUAUGUUAGAAAUUUAAAUUUUUUGGCGGUUAAUUAUUUUUUAGAGGAGCUUGUUGUAUAGAAAUUACUCUUUAUAUUUUAAUAAUUUAAGUUUAUUUAUCUCCGUUAUAAAGUAAGAACUUAAGAAGUUUUAGCUUUUACUUCAGGUCAAGAUGUAGCAAUAAUUUUAAUAAAUUAGCUACAAUAAUGGGAUUAUAGUUUAUUAUAGGAAGAGAUAAGAUUAAAGUGAAUUUAAUUGUAAUAGGAUUUAAAAUGAUAGGAUGAAUUAGUAUAAUUUAUGUACAUAUUGCCCGUCACUUCUUUUGGGAAAAGAGAAUAAGUCGUAACAAAGUA